UACGGGGGGGGCAAGCGUUGUUCGGAAUUACUGGGCGUAAAGGGUUUGUAGGUGGCCUGCUAAGUCAGACGUGAAAUCCCUCAGCUUAACUGGGGAACUGCGUCUGAGACUGGUAGGCUCGAGGACAGGAGAGGAACGCGGAAUUCCAGGUGUAGCGGUGAAAUGCGUAGAUAUCUGGAGGAACACCGGUGGCGAAGGCGGCGUUCUGGACUGUUUCUGACGCUGAGGCGCGAAAGCUAGGGGAGCAAACGGG
Molecule: ribosomal RNA, 253 nt
Filed under: uncultured bacterium
Lineage: Bacteria
Description: partial 16S ribosomal RNA
Rfam family: Bacterial small subunit ribosomal RNA
Source: RNAcentral